GACAGUGUGGCCGAGCGGUUAAGGCGUCUGACUCGAAAUCAGUUGGGCUUUGCCCUCGCAGGUUCGAAUCCUGCUGCUGUCG
This is a non-coding RNA of Candida albicans SC5314, 82 nucleotides long. Lineage: Eukaryota; Fungi; Ascomycota; Pichiomycetes; Serinales; Debaryomycetaceae. The record is from the annotation of a RefSeq genome assembly.